UUUACAAGCUACUAUCUUAUUUUCUAAUCUUUCACUUAGCAUCUAUAGUAUAACAACUAGCAUAAAAAUAAAUCACGUAUUUUUAGAACCACAAAAUGAAAUCUAAUUGUUAUUACCAUUUUCAAGGUAAACAAAUAUUGACAUACAAACAACUAUCUCUAAUCAGCAAAAAAAGAAAAGAAAAAGAAGACAGAACUAAUUGGAAACUGAAUGCCCACCAAAAAAGGAACUAAAUAAAAUCCCAACCGUGAUCGCCCUCUUGAAUUGCUUGGCCAUCUUAACUCCUCAACAGAGACGAUCAAAGGAUUGCAGAUCAAAAACCCACAUCCCAUACUUAAAAGGAAAUAAAAACAAAUAAAAGCUGAAACAAAUAAACUAUUGAUGAACGAAAGUGAGAGAGAAAGGUAUGAGAGAGAGGGGGGUAAGUAAUAGAGAAGAAUGAAGCCUGAAACAGGUAAUAAGAAUGCCGUUUAAUAUAUUAUUUUUACUACUAUAUAUAAAUGUGAAGGGAAGGACGAACGCAGCUAUUUCCAAUUAUACAUUCUUCAUUACUUGUGUGUAUACACUUUUAAAUUGACAAAUAUACCUGCUCCCUUUGAACUCAAUUGCUAUAGAAACACGUGUACUCUACGUGUCCAUCACAGAUAUUUUCAUCAGUUCAUCUAGAUUUUUCCAAGAUAAAGAAUUGAAAGGUUGGAUCCAAUUGAAAUGACACUGGAUGUCUUCAAUUGAAAAUCUGGUCUCCUCAUACUCAAAAUUUUCAGCUACAAAACUAUUUCUUCUUUUAACCAUUCAUCUUCUGUUUUUUUCUUUUCUGCUCCAGCUGCGUUUGUCCUUGGCUUUUAGAUUCAUUUCAAAAUUUCUCUAUUUUUCCGGUUUGUAUGUGGAUCGCUAAGUUCUAGUUAGUUUUCUUUUGUGCUUACUGCUUUUUUCUUGAUGAGUAUAUGAACACUUGAUUCUAUUUUUUUUUAGAGGUGAUUGAUUUAGAAUCUGAAUUAUGUGAUUUACAUUUUCAUUUUGCCUCUGAUUUUAUAUUUUAUGCUUUAUUAUUUUUAGUUAAGUGUGCCUGAUUUUUAUAUUAAAAUUUUCCUCUUUCUUCGUGUUUCCUUUAUGGAUUCUGUUAUACAUGUGGUUAUUUUUUAAAAUGCCUCUUUAAAAUUUUUCAGCUUUAGUAACAUGACUGCUCCCACAACGGCUACAGGAAACUGCCUCUGGGAGAAAAAUAAACUAUCAACGGUAGAGCUUUAAUGCAACCAAUGUGUUUUAUGAAAUUCUCCUAUGAAAGGAAGAUAGUUUCAACAAUUCGUUGACCUCUUCUCUGCAAUCAAUCAAAGCUUUUUACAUAUCAAUUGACACUCAUUAGAUUAGUACACUCAUAAAAGCUCUAAUUGUUAGAUCUUUGCAUCUAUUACGUGUAAACUACUUAAAGUUCUAUUAAACUUUUUGAUUUUGUUAAACUCUUCCAGACUUCCACUAAGAUAUUU
This 1484-nucleotide long non-coding RNA is filed under the name Nicotiana tabacum (common tobacco). Its description in RNAcentral is "long non-coding RNA (NTAB_LNC003153)". Lineage: Eukaryota; Viridiplantae; Streptophyta; Magnoliopsida; Solanales; Solanaceae. The record is from RNAcentral.